This 498-nucleotide ribosomal RNA is filed under the name uncultured bacterium. RNAcentral's name for it is "partial 16S ribosomal RNA". It matches the Rfam family "Bacterial small subunit ribosomal RNA", at positions 30 to 523 of the family's 1533-position model. The record is from RNAcentral.
AUUGAACGCUGGCGGCAUGCUUUACACAUGCAAGUCGAACGGUAACAGGCCGCAAGGUGCUGACGAGUGGCGAACGGGUGAGUAAUGCAUCGGAACGUGCCCAGUAGUGGGGGAUAAAGCAGCGAAAGCUGUGCUAAUACCGCAUACGAACUAUGGAUGAAAGCGGGGGACCGUAAGGCCUCGCGCGGUGGGAGCGGCAGAUUUCAGAUUAGGUAGUUGGUGGGGUAAAGGCCCACCAAGCCAACGAUCUGUAGCUUGUCUGAGAGGACGACCAGCCACACUGGGACUGAGAAACUGCCCAGACUCCGACGGGAGGCAGCAGUGGAGAAUUUUGGACAAUGGGCGCAAGCCUGAUCCAGCAAUGCCGCGUGCAGGAAGAAGGCCUUCGGGUUGUAAACUGCUUUUGUACGGAACGAAAAGGUUUGGGUUAAUACCCUGGGCCGAUGACGGUACCGUAAGAGUAAGCACCAGCUAACUACGUUCCAGCAGCCGCGGUAA